GACAGAUGGGAGCUUGCUCCCUGAAGUCAGCGGCGGACGGGUGAGUAACACGUGGGCAACCUGCCUGUAAGACUGGGAUAACUCCGGGAAACCGGGGCUAAUACCGGAUAAUUCUUUCCCUCACAUGAGGGAAAGCUGAAAGAUGGUUUCGGCUAUCACUUACAGAUGGGCCCGCGGCGCAUUAGCUAGUUGGUGAGGUAACGGCUCACCAAGGCAACGAUGCGUAGCCGACCUGAGAGGGUGAUCGGCCACACUGGGACUGAGACACGGCCCAGACUCCUACGGGAGGCAGCAGUAGGGAAUCUUCCGCAAUGGACGAAAGUCUGACGGAGCAACGCCGCGUGAGUGAUGAAGGUUUUCGGAUCGUAAAACUCUGUUGUUAGGGAAGAACAAGUACCGGAGUAACUGCCGGUACCUUGACGGUACCUAACCAGAAAGCCACGGCUAACUACGUGCCAGCAGCCGCGGUAAUACGUAGGUGGCAAGCGUUGUCCGGAAUUAUUGGGCGUAAAGCGCGCGCAGGCGGUUCCUUAAGUCUGAUGUGAAAGCCCCCGGCUCAACCGGGGAGGGUCAUUGGAAACUGGGGAACUUGAGUGCAGAAGAGAAGAGUGGAAUUCCACGUGUAGCGGUGAAAUGCGUA
This 640-nucleotide ribosomal RNA is filed under the name Bacillus sp. (in: firmicutes). Its description in RNAcentral is "bacterial SSU rRNA". It matches the Rfam family "Bacterial small subunit ribosomal RNA", at positions 68 to 692 of the family's 1533-position model. The record is from RNAcentral. Lineage: Bacteria; Bacillati; Bacillota; Bacilli; Caryophanales; Bacillaceae.